GACGAACGCUGGCGGCGUGCCUAACACAUGCAAGUCGAGCGAAUGAAGUUCCUUCGGGAAUGGAUUUAGCGGCGGACGGGUGAGUAACACGUGGGCAACCUGCCUCAUAGAGGGGAAUAGCCUUCCGAGAGGGAGAUUAAUACCGCAUAAGAUUGUAGUAUCGCAUGAUACAGCAAUUAAAGGAGCAAUCCGCUAUGAGAUGGGCCCGCGGCGCAUUAGCUAGUUGGUGAGGUAACGGCUCACCAAGGCGACGAUGCGUAGCCGACCUGAGAGGGUGAUCGGCCACAUUGGGACUGAGACACGGCCCAGACUCCUACGGGAGGCAGCAGUGGGGAAUAUUGCACAAUGGGGGAAACCCUGAUGCAGCAACGCCGCGUGAGUGAUGACGGCCUUCGGGUUGUAAAGCUCUGUCUUCAGGGACGAUAAUGACGGUACCUGAGGAGGAAGCCACGGCUAACUACGUG
Molecule: ribosomal RNA, 464 nt
Filed under: uncultured bacterium
Lineage: Bacteria
Description: partial 16S ribosomal RNA
Rfam family: Bacterial small subunit ribosomal RNA
Source: RNAcentral